Heterocephalus glaber (naked mole-rat) is the source of this 3277-nucleotide non-coding RNA. The record is from RefSeq and is a predicted model, not a curated record. NCBI's taxonomy places the organism in Eukaryota, Metazoa, Chordata, Mammalia, Rodentia, Bathyergidae.
UGGCAGGGAGCCCCAGUGUAGACAGAUACCCAAACUGAGGACUGCCACUAUCAGGCCACCCACCCCAGCGCUGCCUGGAAGCAGAUGAGCCCCGAUAUAACUGGCAGAGACAUGCUUUCGGGACAGGAUGGGGACACGGAGCCAGCACCAGCUCUCCCUCCUGCCUGCAACAGAGAUACGGAAGUGGGAGCUGGGCAGAGGCAAUCAGACUGCCUGGCUCGGCAGGACAGCCCCGAGGGUGGAGCUGGCUGACAGAGGCACCUGGAGACCAAGAGGCUAAAACCCAUCUUCAGGAAGCCGGCUCCACUGGCCGCCCGCUGGGCGAACUCACCGCAGAGGGAUCUUGACGCGGAGAUAGCGGUCCACGGCGAUGGCCAGUAGGGCCAGGAUGGAGCUCUGCGUGAGGAUCAGGACGGGGCAGGCCACCAUGAGGCAAGUGUGGAAGUAGGUCUGCGGCCCGACGUUGAUGAGGAUGGCCAGCGGGAUGACCAGGGCGCCCACCGCCACAUCAGCCACCGCCAGCGACGCGAUGAAGCAGAAGGUGGCGUCCCGCAGCGCCUGGUUCAUCUUCACAGCCCAGAUCACGAGCACGUUCCCAGGCACCGAGACCAGGGCGAUGAGCACCUCGAUGCCAAUCCCCGGACGUUCCGUUCAGCAACUUAAAAUAGCAGCGCUCGCUCCACCGUGGCUCCGGAUCAGGUGUGAGGCGGCUCCCAGCACAGCACGCCCCACGGGGGUCCCGCGCGCCCGGCUCUGCCCACCCCGCGUCCACAGAACAGGAUGCUGGGAGCUCACCAUCCCGCCUGCUGGCCGGCGGGGGGUCCCGGAGGCGGUGCCCAAAGUUCCCGGAACGCGGUGCCGCCCAGAGUUCCGGGGCCGCGCCGGGCAGAGCUGGGCUCCGGGAACCGCCGGGCAGCUCAUCGUCCUCGGGCUCCCGCCGCAGCGCUCCCAGCCCGGCCUUUCAAGCAAUCACAUGGUGCGGCAGAGGCUCAGCCCCGGACGCUUUUAAAGAGCUCUGCAGGAAGGGGCCGUUCCGCUCGCUUCCCUCAACCCUCUCCGGCGUCCUCCCCGGGGAGCCCCGCGGCGCAGACUUACCCAAGGUCACACCAGAGCUGGCACCGCUCCUGGCCACCCGAGCCCCCACACCUCGACGCCCUCGCCAGCCGCUGCCCCCCGCCCCGAGAAGCCUGGAGGAUCCGGGGCUGGCCGACAGGUCCGGGGCUUGUCGCCCCAGGCGCGGGGGCGCAGUGACAGUCGGGCUCCGCACACCCGGCGGGGGGGGGGGGGCACCGCGGGGCCCCUCCCUCCUCGCCCUCCGUCUCCUCCCCCGCCCCCGCCCCUCCUCCAGACAAAGGAAGCGAUUCCGUGUGAAAAGGCCUGGGAAAACGUGAGCUUUUGAAGGUUCCGGUGUGUGAAUCCAGGCUCGAGACUGGACGAGGUGCAGCCUGCGGGUACCCGCUCCCUCCCCGCUCGGUGCGGCAGCCGGAGCCCUGGUGUGUGGUCCCCAGAGACCGACCCUGCGGGGCCUAACAUCACAGCGUCUCACCUGCCCGGCGGGGCUCCAGGUUGCCCACCCCACACCCACUGCGCCCGACCUCCCACAGCCUGCCCUAACCCUAAAACUAGCUCUCCCCGUGAAACUAGUCCCUGGCGUUCUCUGGAGCUCAAACCCUUCCAACACUGUUACUUUGCAGGCUCUGUCCUGAGUCAUUGCGUUUCUUCCUCAUCCAUCUUUUACAAUUGCCUUUGGGGCCAGAAGCAAUUUCCAUUCUGCAGAUGAGGACUCUGAGGCUCAUGGAAGUGACCUGGCCUCGGUGUCACCCCUUCUGGGGUCCUUUGCUCUCCUCCUCCCUCCUUACAGCGCAGCAGCUAAGCCACAAGGUGUCUGGUCCCCUCUGACAAAGAAGACCAAGAAGCAGAGACUUCCAAAGGGCGCAAGAGAAGUCUAAGGACCAGGGCAAGAAAGUCAGGCUGCUGACUGCUGGCGCAGUGCUGGCCCCACACUGCCCCAGGCCUCCCCUGACCACUUCGUGCAGUCCCUGGGUGCCAGUCCAUGGCACUGACAAUGCCCUCCCAGGCCAGACCCUUGCUCAGAAGGAUACCGUGCAGAGAUCCCAACCUGAGAAAUCCUCAAGUGUGGGUAUUAGGGGAGGACCCUGUGAGUCACCUGGAGACCCCAGGACCCCACUGCCCCCCUGUUGGAUCUCAGGAUGCCAAGCUGCUCCUGUUGGGAGAUUGAGCAGAAUCACGGAGGCAAAGGAUGGCUGGAACCAGAGCUGCUGGGAGGAGGGGGUCAAGGCUACGGAGUCUUCCAGGGAGGAAGAGGAGGAAGCCCAGGGCUGAGAAAGACAGCUUGCACUUCUGCCUUCCUGGGGAGCAAGGAAUCUGUGCCUCAGACAAACCUGUAGUCCUUCCCCAGAGGCUGGCUGAAGAGACUGGUGAAGAUGGGUUCCUGGUUAAGACUUCAUUUGAACAUAGAUUUUAUUGGUUAUGGAGCUUUAGCAAAAGCUUGGCACUUUGAGCUUCAACCAAACCCCUCCAGCUAAGAGAACUGAGACCCACAAAGGGAGGAAGGGAGGCCGGCAGCAGACUCAUCCCAGGGCGUGGGGACGCCAGGAUCGGAUGAAGAACCUGAGGCUGGGAGAGAUUCAAGGGGAGCCAUGUGACAGGGCUGAGACUGGAACCCAGGUCACCAGAGGCCUACCCCAGAUGUGACAUUGGGAAUGUUGAGCCAAUUGGUCUGCAAGGGCUUCGUGGAGGAGAGAUCUCCGGCAGCCCAUUUGGUCACUUUACACCUGGUACCGAAUGAGGACUUACCAUGAAGAUGGAAAAUGUAUUUAUACACAAUGGAAUACUAUACUGCCAUAAAAAAUAUAAACUUGAGGCAUUCACAGGUAAAUGGGUGUACCUUGAGAACAUAAUGUUAAGUAAACUAAGUCAGACUUACAAAGCUCAAAUAUUGCCUGGUUUCUCUUAUAUGAGAAACCAUAUAUAUAUAUAUAUACACACACACAUACAUACAUACAUACAUAAGGCAAAGUAGAAAAGAGAAAUAGGAAGUAGGGAGAAGUUCAAAUACUUCCCCAAAUUCCAAAUUCCAAAACAUUUCGAUAUAUGUGCUAAUUGGUUUCAUUUUUAUUACUAGCUUGUCUCAGUUCAGUGAAAAGAAAGUUUCGUGUUAUGUUUCUUUCUGUAAGAAUUUUUUUAUGUCUUGUACUCUGAGUAACCUACUUUGAAGAUAGCGAUACAAAGUAUAAUACCUAUUGUUUUUCUCUUA